GUGCUUGGUGUUGGACGGCUUGGUCGCGUCACCGCGACUCCUCCUAAAGACAAUGACGGCGGCCUGUGGUUCCCCCGGUACACUGAGCUUUUAGUUGAGCACGUAUUGGAUAAGGGCACCCGGGACCCGGUCUUCUCCCUUCACCGGGAAAUUUUUCAAUGGUUGACCUCGGAUCAGGUAGGAAUACGCGCUGAACUUAA
Molecule: unclassified non-coding RNA, 200 nt
Filed under: soil metagenome
Description: partial contains internal transcribed spacer 2 and large subunit ribosomal RNA
Source: RNAcentral